GGGGUUGUAGCUCAGAGGUAGAGUGCUCACCUAGCAUGUGCGAGGCCCUGGGUUCGAUCCUCGGCACCACA
RNAcentral lists this transfer RNA (71 nucleotides) under Marmota monax (woodchuck). RNAcentral's name for it is "tRNA.Ala". It matches the Rfam family "tRNA". Rfam says of the family: Transfer RNA (tRNA) molecules are approximately 80 nucleotides in length. Their secondary structure includes four short double-helical elements and three loops (D, anti-codon, and T loops). Lineage: Eukaryota; Metazoa; Chordata; Mammalia; Rodentia; Sciuridae. The record is from RNAcentral.